Long non-coding RNA from Cucurbita moschata (crookneck pumpkin), 147 nucleotides. RefSeq lists it as uncharacterized. NCBI's taxonomy places the organism in Eukaryota, Viridiplantae, Streptophyta, Magnoliopsida, Cucurbitales, Cucurbitaceae. The transcript is spliced from 2 exons. The record is from RefSeq and is a predicted model, not a curated record.
GAGGAGCCGUCAUCGAGACUUCGUCUAGAAUCGAGGGAAGCUGACUUCGUGAAGAAACUUGGUAGAAAAUCGAGAAUCGUCCGAGACGGUAAGCGAACUUCUGUGGCUCAAAUCUCGUUCUAUGUUGAGGCUAAAAUCACGAAAAAA